RNAcentral lists this long non-coding RNA (296 nucleotides) under Lathyrus oleraceus (garden pea). Its description in RNAcentral is "Pisum sativum (pea) long non-coding RNA (PSAT_LNC036226)". Lineage: Eukaryota; Viridiplantae; Streptophyta; Magnoliopsida; Fabales; Fabaceae. The record is from RNAcentral.
UGGUGCGUAGCGGAUGCUGAGAGAGGAAAGAGGUGUUUUGAGAUUUGUUAAAAAUUCAAAAAAUCUACUAAUCAAAUUUUGAUAUUUGGCAAGGCAAUAAUAAAAAACAAAAGUUUAAAACUUCCUCUUCUUCUCAGCAACUACGAAAAACAGAGGAACCACCAUGUCAUCUCCCUCUCUCACUCGCGAUAACACAUUUUCUUCUUAGAGAAAACAAAUCUUCCUCUCUCCAUUGUCUCGUCUCACCUCUCUCUCAAUUAAACAAACAUAACAAAAAACAAAAAUAACAACAAGAA